RNAcentral lists this ribosomal RNA (253 nucleotides) under uncultured bacterium. RNAcentral's name for it is "partial 16S ribosomal RNA". It matches the Rfam family "Bacterial small subunit ribosomal RNA", at positions 524 to 776 of the family's 1533-position model. The record is from RNAcentral.
UACGUAGGGGGCUAGCGUUGUCCGGAAUCAUUGGGCGUAAAGCGCGUGUAGGCGGCCCGGUAAGUCCGCUGUGAAAGUCGGGGGCUCAACCCUCGGAUGCCGGUGGAUACUGUCGGGCUCGAGUACGGAAGAGGCGAGUGGAAUUCCUGGUGUAGCGGUGAAAUGCGCAGAGAUCAGGAGGAACACCAAUUGCGAAGGCAGCUCGCUGGAACGUUACUGACGCUGAGACGCGAAAGCGUGGGGAGCAAACAGG